RNAcentral lists this ribosomal RNA (448 nucleotides) under uncultured bacterium. RNAcentral describes it as "bacterial SSU rRNA". It matches the Rfam family "Bacterial small subunit ribosomal RNA", at positions 330 to 792 of the family's 1533-position model. The record is from RNAcentral.
UCCAGACUCCUACGGGAGGCAGCAGUGGGGAAUAUUGGGCAAUGGAGGCAACUCUGACCCAGCAACGCCGCGUGAGUGAUGAAGGUCUUCGGAUUGUAAAACUCUUUAAGUGGGGACGAAGAAAGUGACUGUACCCACAGAAUAAGCCUCGGCUAACUACGUGCCAGCAGCCGCGGUAAUACGUAGGAGGCAAGCGUUAUCCGGAAUGACUGGGCGUAAAGGGUGCGUAGGUGGUUUGGCAAGUUAGUAGCGUAAUUCCGGGGCUCAACUUCGGAACUACUACUAAAACUGCUGGGCUUGAGUGCAGGAGGGGCAUAUGGAAUUCCUAGUGUAGCGGUGGAAUGCGUAGAUAUUAGGAGGAACACCAGUGGCGAAGGCGAUAUGCUGGACUGUAACUGACACUGAGGCACGAAAGCGUGGGGAGCAAACAGGAUUAGAUACCCGCGUA